UACGGGGGGAGCAAGCGUUGUUCGGAAUUACUGGGCGUAAAGGGCGUGUAGGCGGCCUUGUAAGUCGGGGGUGAAAUCCACUGGCUCAACCAGUGACGUGCCUUCGAAACUGCUUGGCUUGAGUAUGGCAGAGGAGAGCGGAAUUCCAGGUGUAGCGGUGAAAUGCGUAGAUAUCGUAAGGAAGACCAGUGGCGAAGGCGAGUCUCUGGGCAGCAACUGACGCUGAGGCACGAAGGCCAGGGGAGCAAACGGG
RNAcentral lists this ribosomal RNA (253 nucleotides) under uncultured bacterium. Its description in RNAcentral is "partial 16S ribosomal RNA". It matches the Rfam family "Bacterial small subunit ribosomal RNA", at positions 524 to 776 of the family's 1533-position model. The record is from RNAcentral.